Molecule: long non-coding RNA, 362 nt
Organism: Solenopsis invicta (red fire ant)
Lineage: Eukaryota; Metazoa; Arthropoda; Insecta; Hymenoptera; Formicidae
Exons: 2
Source: RefSeq, a predicted model, not a curated record
GUGGUGGUGACGAUGAUGCGCGCGUGAUUAAGGCGGCGACGGCGGUGACGAUGACAGCGAUGAAGGCGAGUCGGCGUGCUGCUGCUCGUCGUCGUUCGCCUAAAGGGCCGUUCGUCGCAGACGCAUGCUCGCGGCACGUCGCAGCCUCUCGCACUGACCGCACGUAACACGUAAGAGAGAGGAAUGAGAAGCCGGUAACGCGGUUGGAUCACAGGAGAAGUCAUCUUAAAUAAUGAGGUGUUUACCAUUUUUUAAAAAUGGAUCACGGUAUACAAAAAUUUGAGAAACACUGCUUUACAAUUGUUUAAUUUUGUUGCAAUCUAAAAUAGAGUCACUGUACUGAUCAAUAAAUAAAUAAAAAA